This 73-nucleotide transfer RNA is filed under the name Victivallis vadensis. It matches the Rfam family "tRNA". Rfam says of the family: Transfer RNA (tRNA) molecules are approximately 80 nucleotides in length. Their secondary structure includes four short double-helical elements and three loops (D, anti-codon, and T loops). The record is from Rfam by way of RNAcentral. Lineage: Bacteria; Pseudomonadati; Lentisphaerota; Lentisphaeria; Victivallales; Victivallaceae.
GCCUGGGUAGCUCAGUGGAUAGAGCGAGGGUUUCCUAAACCCUGCGUCGGAGGUUCGAUUCCUCUCCCGGGUA